This is a non-coding RNA of Danio rerio (zebrafish), 71 nucleotides long. NCBI's taxonomy places the organism in Eukaryota, Metazoa, Chordata, Actinopteri, Cypriniformes, Danionidae. The record is from Rfam.
GCAUUGAUGGUUCAGUGGUAGAAUUCUUGCCUCCCAUGCGGGAGAGCCGUGUCCGAUUCCCGGCCAAUGCA